This 588-nucleotide ribosomal RNA is filed under the name Aeromonas sp. Its description in RNAcentral is "bacterial SSU rRNA". It matches the Rfam family "Bacterial small subunit ribosomal RNA", at positions 207 to 786 of the family's 1533-position model. Lineage: Bacteria; Pseudomonadati; Pseudomonadota; Gammaproteobacteria; Aeromonadales; Aeromonadaceae. The record is from RNAcentral.
CGGGCCUUGCGCGAUUGNAUAUGCCCNGGUGGUAUUACCUUGUUGGUGAGGUAAUGGCUCACCAAGGCGACGAUCCCUAGCUGGUCUGAGAGGAUGAUCAUGCCACACUGGAACUGAGACACGGUCCAGACUCCUACGGNAGGCAGCAGUGGGGAAUAUUGCACAAUGAGGGAAACCCUGAUGCAGCCAUGCCGCGUGUGUGAAGAAGGCCUUCGGGUUGUAAAGCACUUUCAGCGAGGAGGAAAGGUUGAUNNCUAAUANCUGNCAACUGUGACGUUACUCGCAGAAGAAGCACCGGCUAACUCCGUGCCAGCAGCCGCGGUAAUACGGAGGGUGCAAGCGUUAAUCGGAAUUACUGGGCGUAAAGCGCACGCAGGCGGUUGGAUAAGUUAGAUGUGAAAGCCCCGGGCUCAACCUGGGAAUUGCAUUUAAAACUGUCCAGCUAGAGUCUUGUAGAGGGGGGUAGAAUUCCAGGUGUAGCGGUGAAAUGCGUANAGAUCUGGAGGAAUACCGGUGGCGAAGGCGGCCCCCUGGACAAAGACUGACGCUCAGGUGCGAAAGCGUGGGGAGCAAACAGGAUUAGAUACC